GGGUCGGUAGCUCAGUUGGUUAGAGCGUCUGCCUCUUAAGCAGAAUGUCGAGGGUUCGAGUCCCUCCCGACUCACCA
This 77-nucleotide transfer RNA is filed under the name Patescibacteria group bacterium. RNAcentral describes it as "tRNA-Lys". It matches the Rfam family "tRNA". Rfam says of the family: Transfer RNA (tRNA) molecules are approximately 80 nucleotides in length. Their secondary structure includes four short double-helical elements and three loops (D, anti-codon, and T loops). Further hydrogen bonds mediate the characteristic L-shaped molecular structure. tRNAs have two regions of fundamental functional importance: the anti-codon, which is responsible for specific mRNA codon recognition, and the 3' end, to which the tRNAs corresponding amino acid is attached (by aminoacyl-tRNA synthetases). tRNAs cope with the degeneracy of the genetic code in two manners: having more than one tRNA (with a specific anti-codon) for a particular amino acid; and 'wobble' base-pairing, i.e. permitting non-standard base-pairing at the 3rd anti-codon position. The record is from RNAcentral.